RNAcentral lists this transfer RNA (74 nucleotides) under Cordylochernes scorpioides. RNAcentral describes it as "tRNA-Thr". It matches the Rfam family "tRNA". Rfam says of the family: Transfer RNA (tRNA) molecules are approximately 80 nucleotides in length. The record is from RNAcentral. Lineage: Eukaryota; Metazoa; Arthropoda; Arachnida; Pseudoscorpiones; Chernetidae.
UCCAGGGUAGCCUAGUGGACAUGGCAUCUUCUCGGUAAGCGGAACACUGUGGGUUCGAUUCCCAUCCCUUGAAA